GCAGCCGCGGUAAUACGGAAGGUGCAAGCGUUACUCGGAAUCACUGGGCGUAAAGAGUGCGUAGGCGGGGUAAUAAGUCAGAUGUGAAAUCCUGUAGCUUAACUACAGAACUGCAUUUGAAACUGUUACUCUGGAGUGUGGGAGAGGUAGGUGGAAUUCUUGGUGUAGGGGUAAAAUCCGUAGAGAUCAAGAGGAAUACUCAUUGCGAAGGCGACCUGCUGGAACAUUACUGACGCUGAUGCACGAAAGCGUGGGGAG
Molecule: ribosomal RNA, 258 nt
Filed under: uncultured bacterium
Lineage: Bacteria
Description: partial 16S ribosomal RNA
Rfam family: Bacterial small subunit ribosomal RNA
Source: RNAcentral